This 1875-nucleotide long non-coding RNA is filed under the name Glycine max (soybean). RNAcentral describes it as "long non-coding RNA (GMAX_LNC003620)". Lineage: Eukaryota; Viridiplantae; Streptophyta; Magnoliopsida; Fabales; Fabaceae. The record is from RNAcentral.
ACACAUUACCCAUUGCCAUUGCUUAAGUUGCUUUAAUUAUUUUUUUUUCCUCUUUAAUUUGAUACCUUUUCCCAGGAUAGAGUUCCUUGAUAAUCUCAUCUCAUUUAUGUUAUAAGACUUAGGGAUUGUAAUAAUUUAUUGUUGUUCUCCAGAAAAUCCACCACUCCCAUAAGAUUUUGAUUGUUAUUUACCCAUUUUACAUUUCAAUUGCCAAUUUUAUGAUUUUAUCAUGACUUGAUUCCAUGGUAUCAACAUCUUAGUAUUUUAAUAUUUGAUUUGUAAGCUUGUCUUGUUUUUUAUUACUAGGAUGAUUGACCCUCUUGGAUCCAAAGUAUUUGAACCUAAUUUUUAUUUUUAUUUUAUUUUCUAGGAAAUAUUAGUUGAUAUCUACAAAUAUUAGGUGAUUAUAAGCAGUGACUAAGACAAUGAGAAACAUAUAAGUUGUUUCACAACAAUCAUUACAUACUAACAUUGAUAACUUAUCAAAUUAGUCUAUGUCUUAAAGUUUAACCCUACAAGAGAAAAUGUGUGCAAAGAGAUAAAACAUGAAAGAAAAAAAAAAGAUCAAUGUGAGUAUCAAAAUAAAAUAAGAUAUAUACAUCCUAUAAAAGUUUUUGCACAUGACCCAAUUUUAAAAAACAGUUUUUUGCACAUGACACAUAUCUAUCCAUGUCAUACUCAAUUAAUAUUCCAUAUGUGUUAAGAAUGGUGGGAGCAUUUCAGUUGACUUGACAUACACAUAUAACACAUAUGUCAUUCUUGUUGAUUCCCAAACUGUCUUUUUAUUUCAGAACGCCUAUGAGUGGCAACCCUAACACCUCUUUUGUCCCAUCAUGAGUCACAAGAAGAUGAGGGUUUAAACUUUGAAAUAACUAGUAGUAGCAAGAUCGUGUACAGUGAGGUGAUGAGUUAAUAAUAUUUCAUUCAUGAGAAUUGAAUUUGCCUGUACACUCAUAUAGGAUUUUGUUUGAAAAAAGUAUGUGGACAUUGUACUGAGUAUAAAUGUUGUAGUUUUUCACCUUACACUGCUACUAGUAAUGUUUUCUAGAAACUAGUUUGGAUUUUGAUGGGCCUAUCAUUGUAGAGAAGUGGCCGAUAACUAUAUUAGACCUCAAGGUAUAUAUAUAUAUAUAUAUAUAUAUAUUAGUUGCUGGGCAUACAAGCAUAUGUUUGAGUAAGCACAUUAAUACUACUACAUGCUGCUAAGAUACAUUAGGUCAUUGUUCCUUUUUUUCCCUAAUUUAAAUGUGUUUUUCUUAGUCAUUUAAUCUUAAAAAAUGUUUGUUGGACUUUUUUAUUAUUAUUUCGGGCAAUUUGGAUGCACAAUUUGUGGUAUUUUUUUUUUAUUAUGAGAGGAACUAAAAAUAAUAUUUUUCAAGAUGGAGUGAUAAUAGAAGCAAAUUUUAAUUUGAGGGACAAAAAAAAACACUGAUUUAAGAUUGAGAGAAACCUGACAUAUUUAAAUCUAUAAAAUAAUUUUCAACCCUUAAAGACUUUAUAUACGGUUUUAUAAAUAUUAAGUCCUCAAAUAUUAAGAAUAAUUUAAAAAUAGAUAUCUGCCUCCACUACCUAUGUUUAGCUAAAAAAAACUACAUGGAUAGUGUCUCCUUGAAGUGUAAUCUAUGUUAUCCUAUGUAGUGUUACCUAUGUAUACAUGUUGCGUGUGCAUGAAACAAAGCUUAAAAAUCAUGCUAUUUAAUUAAAAAAAUAUUUUAAAGUUUUUUCUAGCAUAGUGUAUUUUUAAAGAAAUAUAAUACCAGCAUUCACAAAUUUGGUAUUAUUUCAUGACCUUUCAAGGGAUUGUGUGUUUCCCUAAUCUAAACUUUCACCUACUAUAAAAAAUAACAUAGUUUUAUAACAAGGAUUAGCACAUUU